RNAcentral lists this long non-coding RNA (781 nucleotides) under Monodelphis domestica (gray short-tailed opossum). Its description in RNAcentral is "lncRNA (ENSMODG00000039061.1)". Lineage: Eukaryota; Metazoa; Chordata; Mammalia; Didelphimorphia; Didelphidae. The record is from RNAcentral.
CUCCAACUAGACCUCCCCCUUUCUCAAAGUUCUGCUACUGCAAGCAGACAGCUUGUCUCCCUGCUGGGAUAGCAGCCAGGGACUCCACUCUCCUGUGGAUGACUACAGCCAGCAGGCUCCCAGAGGAGCCCAGCUCAGCCUCAGCUCUCACCUGUGUGUGCUGCCUUUUUGUUUCUCCUCUCUCUAAACUGAAGCCUGAGACAGAACCAGUGUCUGGUUAGAGGGUCGGGGCCCUAGAAGUCGUUUCCUUUUUACUCAUCAACCCCAAACUGUGGGUGGGCAGAGGUCCUGGAGAGGAGCCUGAAGUCCACACAGGUGCUCCCAGGGCUUGCUGCCUGCAGACUCCACCAGUAUCCAGUGUCUGCUACUGGGAUAUAGACUUCCAAAUCAAGCAGAUAAGGAAAAUCUCCACAUUUUCUCAGAAUAGCUCACUGAGAACCUUGGAAGAUGGGACAGAAGAGGACAGCCCAAAUUCAGGUGGAGUGAUGCUCUGUAAUGAGUAGAACCACAGGCAGAACACCCCUGCUGAGAGCCAUCAGGCCAUGAUGUAUUGACAUGGUCACUUGUGGAAGCCAGAAGAUCACAAAGUGGCUCCUUGGCAGAAUGGAAUCAUCCACUCAGCCCCCUCUAUGAUGAAAUGGGAACUCAAAAGAGAAGUGAUUCGCCUAAGGUCAUCCAGUUCCUGAGCAGCAAAGAAAGGACUAGAGUCCAAACCUUCAGAUUAGUCAUGGAAGUUCAAUGUUGAGACAAAAGUCAAGACAUCUGGCAAUGGCUCAGGAUG